GCCGAGCGCCCCGCUCCGCCGUGCGUUCGCCGCGCGCGCCCGCUGCCCUCGGGCGCCCGGGAAACUUCGCGGCCGGGGCGCGGGGAGAGCCGGCUGGCUCCGUCGGCAGCACGGUUCCCAGACUGAGGACGGGGGCUCCAGGUGGGAUCCAUAUAUGAUGACAAGAGCUAUAGCGGCCAGCUUGGAGUCAAGGAUGAAGGUCAUAUCUGGAGGAUGAUAACAUCAUCUGAUCUUUGAUCUGUUACAAGAUCUCACAUUGGAGCAUAUUUGCUUGCCUCAUUAUUUUCCAUACGUAUUACUCCAUGGUAUGUGAAGUGAGAGACUGUCUGAUUCCAAUAACUAAGGUAAGGAAGACGUUCAAUUAUCUUUAUUUCUCUUUAGCUCAACUUAAUUUCAUCUCAAGAUUCAAUUCCCAUGGGUGGCCAAAAACGGAAUCUCUGCUACUUCAGGGUUUUUCUGCAUGGCAUUUAUCUGAGUUCCAUGAGACGUAUGUAGAGCAGAAGUCCUAAGACAUGAAUGUGGCGUCUAACAAGAUGUUGUCUUGUUGUUGUCAUUCUGUGCUGGCAGAUGCUAAGAUGUCUACUGUUCCCCCUGGUCCUCAAGCACUGCUCCAUGUAGAUCUCUCUUGCUCAUCCCUGACUCCUACUCCAAUUCCCUUAGAUACUUUGGAUCUCCCUGAUGUGUCUACGCCACUCUCAGACACACGGGAUUACUGAACCAUGCUGGCAUUUGGGAGCCAUUCCUUCCUAUUCUGUUUUUUUCAGCACUAUGUCAGGAUGCUGUCAAAAUUGGUGGUCAUGGGAGUUGGCUGGGGGUGGGGGUAGAUUCUAGUCCCAUGCAGGCCUUUAUCUAAGAGGCAGGUUUUCUUUUCUCUUAGACUCAGCAAAAUGAUCUGUAGCUUUUGUUACUAACCGUCCCUGGAUUCAGCCUGAAAUGGAAGGCUCCUUUCUAGUGCACAUACGUGCUCCUCCUAUAACUGCUUCCCUUUUGCCAACCCAGGAAGUUUUUAUCUUGGAGGGCAGAUAAAUAGGUUUCUCUUGUUUACUGCACAAGCUUCUAAAUAUCAGGGUCUACGCAUUUGAAACUCAAAAGCCAAAUGUUCUCUACGUAUUUGUCAUUUGCAUUCUGCUGUGCCAUUUGUCCCCUGAAGCAAGGGACCCACUACACCAGGUGAAAAAGAUAAUCAGUCUUACCCCCAAAACAGGUAAUAUUACAAAAUGUUAUCUCAUCACAUGUAUAUAUGUCCUAUUUGUGAAAUAUAGGUAGUAAUUUCUGUUAUUCCAUUGAUUGCUGUUGCUGUUGUUAUAAGCCACAUUAACCAUCUUUGUCCAUUAGCUUGAAAAUUUAUGGAAGAAUAUUGACAAUAUAAGUCCUAGCUUUGGAAUUCCCAGGAGAAAGUGCAAGGGAAAGUAUCAUUUAAAUACUGAUGGAUAGGACAACAUUUCCCCUCUGGAAAGGUUAUACCACCACAAUCUUGUACAGAAGUGCAUACUUCUCAAAAAUAAAUAAAAUAAAAUAAAAUAAAAUAAAAUAAAAUAAAAUAAAAUAGUAAA
Long non-coding RNA from Acinonyx jubatus (cheetah), 1553 nucleotides. RefSeq lists it as uncharacterized. The record is from RefSeq and is a predicted model, not a curated record. NCBI's taxonomy places the organism in Eukaryota, Metazoa, Chordata, Mammalia, Carnivora, Felidae. The transcript is spliced from 3 exons.